This 1025-nucleotide small RNA is filed under the name Arabidopsis thaliana (thale cress). RNAcentral's name for it is "ATSL294390". The record is from RNAcentral. Lineage: Eukaryota; Viridiplantae; Streptophyta; Magnoliopsida; Brassicales; Brassicaceae.
AACAAAAGUUUUCACUACCUUUUCUCUCUCUAAAAGCUCUCUUUUCUCUCUAAAAGUAAAUCUAGAUCUCAGUUUGCGUUGGUUGGCUCCGGUGGCUUCCAUAGCGCCGGAGCUAUGCCUCUCUUGCUCUCCUGUAAACUUUAUGGUUCUUUUGUUUGGUUUAUGUGCGUUUUAGUGUAGUGAUUUAAGGUGGUUCUUAGAUGGCUCAUGUUGUUUUUGUGGGUUGGUCGUCUCUGUUGCUUGUAGCGCCUCUUGAUCCGAUUUGGUUUAACCUUCUUCUCGUUUAGCCUAUUACCAGGUAUGGUGGUUGCUUUCGCUUCUGUCCGGUUCGAUCUCCUACCGUUUAUCUUCUUCGGUGUGGUUCAGAUUGAUUUGGUUCUCUCCUUGUCUCUACUCUAAAGAUCUUAUCGAGAUCUCAUAUGUUCAUUGGCUGGUUUCCUUUGAGGCGCUAAACAAUCAUAUUCUUUGAUUUUGCCGCUCCGGGAGUGUAGGUGUGACUUGUCGUCUUUGGCCUAGUUCUUCUCGCCGGUAUGGAUUCCUUGGAACUCUUCUAUGUAAGGUAGUCUUCAUCGUAAUAGGUGGCACCGCUGUCCGUUUGGUUGGGAGUUCCUUAUCCCCUACGGAGUGGCUUGAUGUAAAGCUCUGCCUUUCCUUUGUCUGGUAAUGUGGUUGACGAGAUAUUGUGUUUAAACAUUGGGUUGUUUUGGUUGCUUCUUUGUUUCAGUUUUAAAAUUUUUUCUUUGUAUGUAAGGUUUGUUUUGCCUUGUUUGCUUCCCUUUCCUUUAGGCUUUGUUUCCGAGAUUAUCUUUUAAUCGUCGGCUUAUAUUUCUAGGGUUAGUUGUUAAUCGCCGGCUUUGUAAUUUAUCGAAAUCUCUAUAAUAAAUUUUCAGACGAUAAAAAAAAAAAACAAGAAAAUAAAUAAAUAAAUAACAUGAACGACAAAAAAAGUUUCACAUCGAUGAUGAUUUUGUACUGUAGUUUUGUACGGUCAUAAUAGAAACAAACAAAGAAGUCCAACCAAUGGG